Molecule: non-coding RNA, 139 nt
Organism: Beta vulgaris subsp. vulgaris (sugar beet)
Lineage: Eukaryota; Viridiplantae; Streptophyta; Magnoliopsida; Caryophyllales; Amaranthaceae
Source: Rfam
GUGUUUGCAGAUGCAGCAUCUUCAAGAUUCACAAACAAUCUUAGCUUUUCUUAUUAAUGAAGGUUCUUCCUUCAUUUCAUGUUGAUCUUGGAAAGCUUGGAUCAUCUGAGAAUCUUGAUGAUGCUGCAUCAGCAGAUAC